UACGAAGGGGGCUAGCGUUGCUCGGAAUCACUGGGCGUAAAGCGCACGUAGGCGGACUCUUAAGUCAGGGGUGAAAUCCCAGGGCUCAACCCUGGAACUGCCUUUGAUACUGUCGAUCUGGAGUAUGGAAGAGGUGAGUGGAAUUCCGAGUGUAGAGGUGAAAUUCGUAGAUAUUCGGAGGAACACCAGUGGCGAAGGCGGCUCACUGGUCCAUUACUGACGCUGAGGUGCGAAAGCGUGGGGAGCAAACAGG
Molecule: ribosomal RNA, 253 nt
Filed under: uncultured bacterium
Lineage: Bacteria
Description: partial 16S ribosomal RNA
Rfam family: Bacterial small subunit ribosomal RNA
Source: RNAcentral